Long non-coding RNA from Pteronotus mesoamericanus, 263 nucleotides. RefSeq lists it as uncharacterized. The transcript is spliced from 3 exons. Lineage: Eukaryota; Metazoa; Chordata; Mammalia; Chiroptera; Mormoopidae. The record is from RefSeq and is a predicted model, not a curated record.
GCAGACUAAUGCAUAAAAGAAAUUCAGGAGAGAAGUCCUACUGCGUCCUAGAGUCCUAGGAACCUGAAUACCACCCACAGUUGAGGCAACUGAACCCCAGGAGCGUCAAUAACUCCACCAACGACGUCGCAUAGCGAGGAGUGGGAACUACUAUUCUAGAAGUCUCUGGCUGGCUUUCACCUAUUCUGAGGUGAGCGAGUGGCCAAAUGUGAAGACACAACCUGCAUGGAUUUGACCCCCUAGCAUCCCUUGGGGAUUCUCAG